UACGUAGGUGGCGAGCGUUGUCCGGAUUUACUGGGUGUAAAGGGCGCGUAGGCGGGGCUGCAAGUCAGAUGUGAAAUCCAUGGGCUUAACCCAUGAACUGCAUUUGAAACUGUAGCUCUUGAGUGUCGGAGAGGUAGACGGAAUUCCUAGUGUAGCGGUGAAAUGCGUAGAUAUUAGGAGGAACACCAGUGGCGAAGGCGGUCUACUGGACGAUAACUGACGCUGAGGCGCGAAAGCGUGGGGAGCAAACAGG
This 253-nucleotide ribosomal RNA is filed under the name uncultured bacterium. Its description in RNAcentral is "partial 16S ribosomal RNA". It matches the Rfam family "Bacterial small subunit ribosomal RNA", at positions 524 to 776 of the family's 1533-position model. The record is from RNAcentral.